Molecule: ribosomal RNA, 471 nt
Filed under: uncultured bacterium
Lineage: Bacteria
Description: bacterial SSU rRNA
Rfam family: Bacterial small subunit ribosomal RNA
Source: RNAcentral
UGGGGAAUUGUUCGCAAUGGGCGCAAGCCUGACGACGCAACGCCGCGUGGAGGAUGAAGGUCUUCGGAUUGUAAACUCCUGUUGCCCGGGACGAAAUGUUCAGACCUAAUACGUCUGAGUUUGACGGUACCGGGUGAGGAAGCCCCGGCUAACUCUGUGCCAGCAGCCGCGGUAAUACAGAGGGGGCAAGCGUUGUUCGGAAUUACUGGGCGUAAAGGGCGCGUAGGCGGCCUGCUAAGUCGAACGUGAAAUCCCCGGGCUCAACCCGGGAACUGCGUCCGAUACUGGCAGGCUUGAAUUCGGGAGAGGGAUGCGGAAUUCCAGGUGUAGCGGUGAAAUGCGUAGAUAUCUGGAGGAACACCGGUGGCGAAGGCGGCAUCCUGGACCGGUAUUGACGCUGAGGCGCGAAAGCCAGGGGAGCAAACGGGAUUAGAUACCCCAGUAGUCCCUGAGCGGGCUGGCAAGGCGCAU